This is a long non-coding RNA of Brienomyrus brachyistius, 1024 nucleotides long. RefSeq lists it as uncharacterized. The record is from RefSeq and is a predicted model, not a curated record. Lineage: Eukaryota; Metazoa; Chordata; Actinopteri; Osteoglossiformes; Mormyridae. The transcript has 3 exons.
GUCAGAGCUCCAGAUAACAAUACUCUUGAACUUUGGAAAGUUUCUUUUCCAGAAGAUCUGAGAGAGAUGAUUACAUGAGUGACGCUAGGCCUCUAUCUAAGGAGGAGUAAUGUGCCUGCAUGGAUGGAGAUGCGGGCGUGCUGGGUCGCAGUCACGAUGGAGCGAUGUGACAGACCUGGGGGACAGUGAGCCCACUGUCAUCGGGGUCUUCAACAAGAAGCAACCAACUGUUGGCUGCGAAGAAUAAGGGCCAGUUCAUUCAGAAACCUCACGCUGCCUUUUGCGGACUUGGUAUUGCUUUGAAACAGUCCUCAGCUCACAUUUACUGCCUUUUGCUGGUCGUCAGCCUUGUUAGAGGAUUGUCGUAUGUGACGGCACUACAGCUGGGCUUAUGAUGCAAUGUCUGUUUAGCUGUGCUUCUUUUGGACCUCUGUCACUGGGUGUGUUUGUGUCUCUAUCUGGGUGUUUCAGGUGCAUCUUCAGAAUGAUGUUAACAUCUUUAUGCAUCUGCCUUGGUAUCCCAUUGUCUUUUGUGUGUCCCUUUCUUUCAGGUUCAGGCCACAGAGCCUUUUGGUCAAACCCCUGUUUCCCUCCUUUUCAUUCUUUAUCAUUUGGAAAUGAGAAGAUUAUGGGGAGCAUUCUAUAACAGCUGUACUCUGCAGAAUAAUAACUCAUGUUAUGUCUACAUUCAUUUAGUCAUGCAGCGUUCAUGAACAAUCUGAUUAUUUUUAACGGCUCUUUGGUAUGAAUGAAGAGAUCCAAGUCGUAUUUGAGAGCCAUUCUUUUUAUGGUUGAGCCCAAAUUUCUCUGCCUGCUCUAAAAUCCACUCCGCUGUGCUUUACAGGAGCAGUGCGAACCAGCUAGUCACAAGAGGUAGACAUUGUCAUGUUACUUAAAGGCAGAAUGAGCCGGAUUUUUCAGUGUUUGUAAACACACUGUUCAAUGUUGGCCUUUCCUCCCCAGCUCACUGAGUGAGAGAAAUAUUUUCAGAUAAUUGUUUAUCUGAUUUGCACUAAAAUCUGUU